Molecule: transfer RNA, 77 nt
Filed under: Mycoplasmoidaceae bacterium
Lineage: Bacteria; Bacillati; Mycoplasmatota; Mycoplasmoidales; Mycoplasmoidaceae
Also listed under: 1 other name
Description: tRNA-Ala
Rfam family: tRNA
About the family: Transfer RNA (tRNA) molecules are approximately 80 nucleotides in length. Their secondary structure includes four short double-helical elements and three loops (D, anti-codon, and T loops).
Source: RNAcentral
GGGGCCUUAGCUCAGCCUGAUAGAGCACCUGAUUUGCACUCAGGGGGUCGAGGGUUUGAUUCCCUUAGGCUCCACCA